GCUGGGCACAUUGGCGUGUGCCUGUAGUCCGAGCUACUUGGGAGGCUGAGGUGGAAGAAUCGCUUGAGCUCAGGAAUUCGAGACUGCAGUGAGCUGUGAUCACAGCCACUGCACUACUCCAGCCUUAGCGACAGAGUGAGACCCUGUCUCAA
RNAcentral lists this non-coding RNA (152 nucleotides) under Gorilla gorilla gorilla (western lowland gorilla). Lineage: Eukaryota; Metazoa; Chordata; Mammalia; Primates; Hominidae. The record is from Rfam by way of RNAcentral.